UACGUAGGGUGCGAGCGUUUAAUCGGAAUUACUGGGCGUAAAGCGUGCGCAGGCGGUUUGCUAAGACCGAUGUGAAAUCCCCGGGCUUAACCUGGGAACUGCAUUGGUGACUGGCAGGCUAGAGUAUGGCAGAGGGGGGUAGAAUUCCACGUGUAGCAGUGAAAUGCGUAGAGAUGUGGAGGAAUACCGAUGGCGAAGGCAGCCCCCUGGGCCAAUACUGACGCUCAUGCACGAAAGCGUGGGGAGCAAACAGG
Molecule: ribosomal RNA, 254 nt
Filed under: uncultured bacterium
Lineage: Bacteria
Description: partial 16S ribosomal RNA
Rfam family: Bacterial small subunit ribosomal RNA
Source: RNAcentral